GAACAGGACGUCGUAGAGGGUGAGAAUCCCGUCUUGGGCGGCCGGUCCGCGCCCGUGUGAAGCUCCUUCGACGAGUCGAGUUGUUUGGAAUGCAGCUCUAAGCGGGUGGUAAAUUUCAUCUAAAGCUAAAUACUGGCCGGAGACCGAUAGCGCACAAGUAGAGUGAUCGAAAGGUUAAAAGCACCUUGAAAAGGGAGUUAAACAGCACGUGAAAUUGUUGAAAGGGAAGCGCUUGCGGCCAGACUCGAGGGGCGGGGUUCAGCGGGUGCGCGUCACCCGUGCACUCCCCGUCCCCCCGGGCCAGCAUCAGUUUCGACGGCCGGUCAAAGGCCCCCGGAAUGUGUCGUCUCUAGGGACGUCUUAUAGCCGGGGGUGCAAUGCGGCCCGCCGGGACUGAGGAACGCGCUCC
RNAcentral lists this ribosomal RNA (409 nucleotides) under Microsporum canis. RNAcentral describes it as "eukaryotic LSU rRNA". It matches the Rfam family "Eukaryotic large subunit ribosomal RNA", at positions 193 to 603 of the family's 3401-position model. The record is from RNAcentral. Lineage: Eukaryota; Fungi; Ascomycota; Eurotiomycetes; Onygenales; Arthrodermataceae.